Myxocyprinus asiaticus (Chinese sucker) is the source of this 1800-nucleotide long non-coding RNA. RefSeq lists it as uncharacterized. The record is from RefSeq and is a predicted model, not a curated record. Lineage: Eukaryota; Metazoa; Chordata; Actinopteri; Cypriniformes; Catostomidae. The transcript has 5 exons.
GGUGAGUAAAUGAUGAGAGAAUUUUCAUUUUUGUGUGAACUAUUACUUUAAUGUCUAUACUGCUUACAGGUGUCAACCAGCUCCUAAAUGGGCUUUGCUCUAACACCACAGUGAAAGUGUUGGACCUGAAGGGAAAUAACAAGAGAGGGACAGGAACUGAGGCUUUGGGGCAGAUAAUAGUGAGGAACAAAGUGCUGCGCAGGCUUGUGCUGGAAUGGAAUGCUCUGGGAAUGUGGGAGGAAAGAUUUGCCAUAUUUUGUGAAGGUCUGGCCUCCAACAUCUGUCUCGCCCAGCUUGACCUCCGCAAUAACCAAAUUAACCACCAGGGGGCAGCAGAGCUCUGUGUUGCUCUAAAGAGGAACACAAGUCUUCAAGAGCUGGAUGAGUUUUGCAACAACUGUUCAGGGCUAGGAAAGAAAUUCCACCCUCACUGUUGUAUGUGGACAAGAGUUGCGAUGUUGUGCAAAGAACUGCUGUCCCAGUUAUUUGAAGCUGAUGUCAUGUAAAUGUUUGCAAAACACCAGUUGGUGUCCUUAGAACCUCAGUGUUUACACUGUGCUGUUGUAAUUGCUAAAUGUUUUAAAUGUAUAUAGCAGUCUUUUGUCAUUAUUCACUUUUUCAGUCUUACACGUUGGUCUAUCACUGUUACUUGUCCAUAUCUUUGAGCUAAAGGGAUAGUUCACCCAAAAAUUCUCUCGUCAUUUACUCACCCUCAUGCCAUCCCAGGUGUGUUUGAUUUUCUUUCAUCAGCUGAACACAAACAAAGAUUUUUAGAAGAACAUCUCAGCUCUGUAGGUCCUUACAAUGCAAGUGAAUGGUGACCAGAACUUUGAAGCUCCAAAAAGCACAUAAAGGCAGCAUAAAUGUAAUCCAUACGACUCCAGUGGUUAAAUCCAUAUCUUCAGAAGUGAUAUGAUAGGUGUGGGUGAGAAACAGAUCACAGAACAGAAACAGACCAUCACUGAGCUCCUGGCCAGAGAAGGGCAGCAAAAAAUUUAGUUGGACACGCUCCACCGCAGGAUAGAGGAGUCACAGCAGGAACUUGCAGGGAAAGAGCAGGAGAAAGUAGCAGACGUGACUUCUCUCUGGAAAGAGAAAUGAAUGUUCUCAGUGCCACCCACAGAGAGGCCCUUCUGGACAAAGAGAGCGAGCAUGCGCGAGGAUGAGGCCCAGAGAGCCAGCUUCCUCCAGAAUGCCAUACUCACUUACGUCCAGGGCUCCCCUCUUGCAAACUUCAGCCCAAAUAAGUGAACAAGUUUGUCAUAGCCUUUCCAUCAGUUCCAUCAGGGCACUUAUAUGCUAUGCACAGUAAAUCUACUUCAAGUUUUUAUUCAAAUGUUUUUGUGUGAAAUAGAGAUGCUUAAGUGGACAGUUUUUAUGGACUGGAAAACAAAGAACCCCCCAAAAUGCUUCAACAAAUAGAUAUUGAUAUGCAUUCCUGUGUCUUUAAAUUUAUAUACGUAUUUUGGUUUGAAAAUAAGUGAGUUUGCAUUAUCGAAUAAUCAGGUAUCAAAACUAUUUUUUAUUUUUUUUAUUUUUUUUUACUUCUUAAUUGGGAUAUUUUACUGUUUCUAUUAAUAUUGGAGCUCUUUCACAUAUCUGUCUUGUGAAAAAUCAUGAUUGUGCCAUACCGUCCAUCAAAACUCUUAUGUUGUGGCACUUGCAGAUUAUAUAUUGUAAAAUGUUUACAUUUUUUUCUACUUUUGGAAUUUUUCCACAUUUGUGAUAUGUUUGCUGUUUGCCUUAAAUAAAAUGUGUGGUUUUGAAGAAGCUCUGUGCAGUCUGUAUAUAAUUGCUGUG